CUUCCUUUCCAGAUACUGGCUGACAUCCAGGUGGGUUCUGUGAAUCCUUUUCUAAGCUGAGAGAAGCCUGCAUUCAUUUCUGUCCUUUCUGAAUUAUGCCUUGGCCACCUGUCCUCCCUACUGAAUUGCUGCUCGUCAGGGCUGUCAAACGGCUGCUUUGAGAGGAGACGGCAGGAUGUGUGGAUGUGCGUCAGAUGAAUUGCAGUGGCCAAACAAAAACCAGAAUCACCUGGUUCAAAAAAACACCCUGUCAGUUACUUCUGAAUUAAAACAUAUUUGGCUGGGCGAGUGUGUGCUUCUGUGUACGUACAUGUACGUGUGAAAGAAAGAGAUCUAAGGGAUGCUCAGACUCUGAAGAUGGUGACUUGAUGACUCC
Long non-coding RNA from Cyprinus carpio carpio, 376 nucleotides. The record is from Ensembl. NCBI's taxonomy places the organism in Eukaryota, Metazoa, Chordata, Actinopteri, Cypriniformes, Cyprinidae.